Molecule: long non-coding RNA, 4210 nt
Organism: Orcinus orca (killer whale)
Lineage: Eukaryota; Metazoa; Chordata; Mammalia; Artiodactyla; Delphinidae
Exons: 3
Source: RefSeq, a predicted model, not a curated record
GGAAGGUCACUGCUCAGCGGUGGAGGUGGUAUCAUCAAUCUGGAUCUUCACUGCUGCUGGGCUACCUAUAGGAAGAGAAAGCCAAGGGAGUCAGAAUUCCAGACUCCAGGAACCCACCUGAUCCCAAGGGAACUCACUGGACAUGCAGAAGAAAAAUGUCAGCUCCAGACAGAAGCCAGCACCAUAGCCCUUACCCAUACAUAGCACCAUACGCUACAAGAUACCCAUCCACCUCCACCCUUCUCCACAGAAGUGUUCUUAAACCCAGGAACAGGUGCCACUGGCCCACCGACAGCCACAUGUGGGGAGAGGUGGAGUCUUUUAGCUUGGGAUAAAAUGAUUAUAUGGGUAUGGAUGGGGGAACCUGGGGGUGGAGGGGUGUCCAAGAGAUAAAGUCCUUCCUUUCAGCUUUAGAGUCCUUUUAAAAGCACAGUCAGCUUCUCCAAACACCCACCUUUGUCCUCCACCACAAUGGGAAUCAGAUCGACUGCUGACUUCUCCUCCACCUUCUCCACAUCAGCAAUACCUGGGAGAACAGAUGGCACUGAGAGCAUGUCUAAGGAAGUGUAUUCUCUGUUCUACACUAUAUCCUGAACCUAAAUCAUGAUGAAAGUCAUAAAAGAUGUCUUGAGAGAGAAAAAGCCCACAGUUUAAAAUCAAGGGUACAAGAUUCUUCAGUGUGUCACUUCCUCUGGACUUCCCUCCAGCCGGGCUGCAAGCCCAAGAGCAACUGUGGUUCACAGGGAUCUGUAGUGUGUGAAAAUGUACAUACCUUUGGGAUCUGUCUCCAUUGGUUCCUCUGUUCUCUCCUUGACCUCUGCCUUUUCCACUUUCUCCUCUCCCUCGGGAGGCUCAACAAGGACUUUUUCAUCCUCUGAGGCAGGGGCAGGGGGCUGUGUACACUUCAAAGGAAAGAAGAAAGAAGCUGAAGCAGACAGGCCAGCACCCAAGAGGAAGAACAGGCUUAUCCAUCUGCCUUUGGUGUGGCAUCCAGUCACCCCCGUCUCUUACCUCAACAGUGGCUUCAGGGGCUGCAGAUUUCACUUCCUUUUCUCCUUCUGCACUGUCUUCUUCUUUGAGGCUAUUUUCCUCUAUUUUUAUCCCAUCCUCUGCACACCAAUAAUAGACAUUCAUUAGGAAGAAGGUCCCAGAUCAGAGAGAAGGUCACACCUUCUCAGUUUAUCUCAUCUUAACUGUCCUCUCGUGCCUUUAAGAGCCAGCCCUAUUCUUAGGACAGCCCUCCUAAACUGAGAGGGAGAUUGCUGUGUGUCCUGCCAGACUCCCCUGUUAGAACUGAGUACAGGGAAACAGAAAAAGCAAAGGCCAGGACAAGAAGAAAAGGAUAGAAAACAACAGUCCAGGCAGACUUACCAGCAGGUGGGGCAGGUGCAGGAGUAUUGGGUUGUGUGUCCCCUGGAGUGGAGAGUGUGGGAGUCUUUGGGGAAGGUGACCCUGGCUGUGACAUUUUCUUGUUUUCCUCUAUUUCCGCAAGUUCGGGCAUGCUCCAGCGCCCAUUAACAUGUUCAAACUCCUGAACCUGCAGCAAUGGGACAAGAUGCUGAAGACCCAAUUCCAUCUAGGUUCCUUUCCUGCUGGCUCUCCAGUUUCCCCUAGAAACCCCUGAACGAUGGAGGGAGGUUCAGGGCUCACCUUCUUGCGAAUCAAGGACAUGACACCAAUCCUAGUAAGGACAUGCUGGCGAGACAGGCCUUCUCGGGGUACACCAUCAGCAAAGGUCUCGGCCCCGUCUGCUCCUGGCUCACAUAAAUGCCGCAUAAAAAGAGAGACGUAAGCCCUGUAGUAAACAAAUAGAGAAAUGGGUCAAACAGCAAUCAUGCCAACUCCUAGCUCAGAUUCUUUCCCACCCGCAGUCAGGCAUCAACUAUGGCUCCAUCUGAGGUAAAGCCCACCAUCGUGCUGAAAGCUUGUCUCCAGACCCCACACCAUGUGCCAGGUCCUCUUCCAGGGAAGCGAGGAGUACAAGGAACCCUAUUACUAACAGCUUCCCUUGCCAACGUAAGCAGAGGAGACAGCCGAUGUCCUGCACAGCCUGCACUAGUACUGUGGAGUGACCAGAGACUAAAAGCCCUUGCUCUACAUCAGUCAUUCCAGCUCUCCACUUACUUGAACUCCUUCUCUGACUUGCCUCGCAGGUCUCUCACAAGCCACUGGGUGGUAAAAGCGUCCUGAGGUGGCAUCCCAUACCGCAUAAUCGCAUUGAGAAAGGCUUUUCGCUGACGAGCAUUAAAGCCAAGAACCUGGGGGGAGAAGGAACCUAGGUGAGAGAAGGAGUAGACCUUACUCCACCAAAGACCCGACAGCAGCACUCACCCAACCUUCCCUAGAACGCAACGGUACUUACUUCAAUAUUCCCACCAACACGGGCCAACAGAGGAGGCAAUGGCUUAUCUUUAUCAUUCCGCAGGCCCUUGCGACUGGGCCUGCGGGGAGCUGCGAGAAGAAAAGGAUGCGUGAGCGACACCGAUAGGGAUAUUAGACAAGGCAAUAUUUUAAAAAUCCAGCAGAAAGGCAUAGCCCUCACCUUCUGAACGUUCAUCAAAGUCUUCAUCACCUUCCUCUGAGGCCACUGAAUAAUCGGACUGGUUGUCGGACUGGUCGUCCUGCCAAUCUGGAGGGAGAGAGGGCAGAUGAGCGGGGCCCACUGCUCUAGUGGAACGGCCCAUGGGUUGGGGGCGGGGCCGGCCACACACACCUCGGUCCUCCUGGGAGCCAUCAUUGUAGUUGACCUGUUUACGGAUUCUUUUUCCUUUGCCCAGAUUGCGGGCCAGAUCUUCUUGCUGCUGCUCAUAAUGGUGCCGCAGCAAUUUCUCCCAGUAGUCAGGAUCCACACUUUCUUCCUGUUUUAUGAUUUCCCGUUCUACCUCCUCUUCCUCCUGGGACAGAGGGAGGGCCAGGACUCAGGGGUGCUGAAGUCGGCACCACCAGCUACCCCUGGUCCUCAUAGUCCCCAUUCUGCUAUAGCUCCUUCUCAUGACUGGACUCUGAAAUACUUGGUGAGCCUGCUUGGACCUAAGAGCUUAAAAGAAAUUUAAUUGACAAGACAUGGUUGGUUCCUCGUGGUUAUGUUUAGAUUAGCAGUCAAAAUAACUAAAGAAAAAUAUAGGAUGGAGCUGUUAUCACAAGAGAAGAAUGAAGAGACAGUAUGUUUUCUUUUAACUCCUUUUGCUGAUGCAUGUACAGUUGCGAGACAGUAAAAUGGAGACAAGUGAGGUCGCAGCCUUAGCAGGUAGAACGGAGAGGCUUCUGCAACACUGCAGAAGAUUCUCCCAGGAGAGGAAGGAGAAGGGCCGUAAGCCCUUUCUGUUCUGCAUAAGCUUCAUAAAAGUUUACCAACCGUGAAAAAAAAUUAUAUAUAUCCUCUUAUAUCCCAAUAAUGUUUAUGCUCCUUUGAAAGUCUUACCUUUUUUUCAGAUCGUUCAGGACCACUAAUUCCAAAUCUCUUACAUUAGAAUUAAGCUGCUGCUAACAGCAUAAUACUAGAAACAACCUAAACAUCCAUCAUUAUGGAACUUGAAUAAAUUAUGGGGGGUGAAAAGGGUGAAGAGAGUCAAAAGUUAUAAACUUCCAGUUAUAAAAUAAAUAAGUCAUGGUGACUUUAUGUAUAGCAUAGUAACUAUAGUUAAUACCAUACUGCAUAUCUGAAAGUUGCUAAAAGAGCAGCCCUCAAAAGUUCUCAUAGGAAAACAAAUGUGUAACUAUGUAUGGUGACAGAUGUUAACUAAACUUAUCAAGGUGACCAUUUCACAAAAUAUACAAAUAUCAAAUCAUUAUGUUGUACACCUGAAACUAAUAUAAUGGCAUAUGUCAAUUAUAUCUCAAUUUUUUAAAGUAAAUAAAUUAUGGUACUUCCAAACAAGGACAUAUUAUGCAGCGAAUAAAGGGGUGCGGAGGGGGGAAAGCUCUUUGGGUACUGACUUGGACAAAAUCUUCCAAGAUUUAUUAGGAGGAUAAAAAUAAGGUACAGAAUGUCAUGUAUAAGAAACUACUUUCCUUAUGCAGCAACAUGGAUGCAAGUAGAGAUUAUCACACUAAGUGAAGUAAGAAAGAGAAAGACAAAUAUCAUAUGAUAUCACUUAUAUGUGGAAUCUAAAAUAGGACACAAAUGAAUCUAUGUAACAGAAACAGAAUCACGGACAGAGAGAGAAACAGAAUCACGGAUGUAGAGAACAGACUGGUGGUUGCCAAGGGG